CCGAGUUUACAACUCCCAAACCCAUGUGAACAUACCUACUGUUGCUUCGGCGGAUUGCCCCGGGCGCCUCGUGUGCCCCGGAUCAGGCGCCCGCCUAGGAAACUUAACUCUUGCUUUAUUUUGGAAUCUUCUGAGUAGUUUUUACAAUAAAUAA
This 154-nucleotide unclassified non-coding RNA is filed under the name soil metagenome. RNAcentral describes it as "partial internal transcribed spacer 1". The record is from RNAcentral.